UACAGAGGGUGCGAGCGUUGUCCGGAAUCACUGGGCGUAAAGGGCGCGUAGGUGGCGACCCAAGUCGAUGGUGAAAGCUCGCCGCUCAACGGCGAGUCGGCCACCGAUACUGGGUUGCUGGAGCACUGUAGAGGCAGAUGGAAUUCCGGGUGUAGCGGUGGAAUGCGUAGAGAUCCGGGAAGAACACCGGUGGCGAAGGCGGUCUGCUGGGCAGUUGCUGACACUGGAGGCGCGACAGCGUGGGGAGCAAACAGGG
Molecule: ribosomal RNA, 256 nt
Filed under: uncultured bacterium
Lineage: Bacteria
Description: partial 16S ribosomal RNA
Rfam family: Bacterial small subunit ribosomal RNA
Source: RNAcentral